Molecule: ribosomal RNA, 1665 nt
Filed under: Malaciobacter mytili LMG 24559
Lineage: Bacteria; Pseudomonadati; Campylobacterota; Epsilonproteobacteria; Campylobacterales; Arcobacteraceae
Description: Arcobacter mytili LMG 24559 partial 23S ribosomal RNA
Rfam family: Bacterial large subunit ribosomal RNA
Source: RNAcentral
GCGUUGGAGCGGAUAGAAGUGAGCAUGCAGGCAUGAGUAGCGAUAAUUGAGGUGAGAAUCCUCAACGCCGAAAACCCAAGGUUUCCUACGCGAUGCUCGUCAUCGUAGGGUUAGUCGGGACCUAAGUCGAGUCCGAAAGGGGUAGACGAUGGUAAAUUGGUUAAUAUUCCAAUACCAGCAUAUAAGCGCGAUGUGGGGACGCAUAGAGUUAAUCGAGGUCACUGAUGGAAGUGUGGCUCGAAGGAAGUAGGUUGAUACUUAGGCAAAUCCGGGUAUCACGAGACCGAGAUCUUACAGGCCGAACAAUCUUUUAGGAGAGCGUUUGGAAUCGAUGAUACUGUCGUGCCAAGAAAAGCCACUAAGUAUAUUAUAUGUUGCCCGUACCGUAAACCGACACAGGUGGGUGGGAUGAGUAUUCUAAGGCGCGUGGAAGAACCCUGGUUAAGGAACUCUGCAAACUAGCACCGUAUCUUCGGUAUAAGGUGUGCCUCCUCUGGUAUAUGAACUUGCUUCAAAAAGCUAGAAAGGUUGCAACAAAGAGUCCCUCCCGACUGUUUACCAAAAACACAGCACUUUGCUAACACGUAAGUGGAUGUAUAAGGUGUGACGCCUGCCCGGUGCUCGAAGGUUAACUGAUGAUGUUAGAGCAAUCGAAGCAUUUGAUUGAAGCCCGAGUAAACGGCGGCCGUAACUAUAACGGUCCUAAGGUAGCGAAAUUCCUUGUCGGUUAAAUACCGACCUGCAUGAAUGGCGUAACGAGAUGGGAGCUGUCUCAACCAGGGAUCCAGUGAAAUUGUAGUGGAGGUGAAAAUUCCUCCUACCCGCGGAAAGACGGAAAGACCCCGUGCACCUUUACUACAGCUUGACACUGUAGCUUGGAUAUUCAUGUGCAGGAUAGGUGGGAGGCUAAGAUGACUAGACGCCAGUAGAGUCGGAGCCACCCUUGAGAUACCACCCUUGAAUAUUUGAGUUACUAACUAGGUAGAGUAAACCUCUACUAGGACAAUGUCUGGUGGGUAGUUUGACUGGGGCGGUCGCCUCCUAAAAAGUAACGGAGGCUUACAAAGGUUAGUUCAUGGCGGAUGGAAAUCGCCAGCUGAGUAUAAUGGCAUAAACUAGCCUGACUGUGAGACGUACAUGUCGAGCAGAGACGAAAGUCGGUCAUAGUGAUCCGGUGGUUCUGAGUGGAAGGGCCAUCGCUCAAAGGAUAAAAGGUACGCCGGGGAUAACAGGCUGAUCUCCCCCAAGAGCUCACAUCGACGGGGAGGUUUGGCACCUCGAUGUCGGCUCAUCGCAUCCUGGGGCUGGAGCAGGUCCCAAGGGUAUGGCUGUUCGCCAUUUAAAGCGGUACGCGAGCUGGGUUCAGAACGUCGUGAGACAGUUCGGUCCCUAUCUUCCGUGGGCGUAGGAAAGUUGAGGAGAUUUGUCCCUAGUACGAGAGGACCGGGAUGAACGUACCACUGGUGUACCAAUUGUUCUGCCAAGAGCAUCGUUGGGUAGCUACGUACGGAUGAGAUAAGAGCUGAAAGCAUCUAAGCUCGAAGCCAACUCCAAGAUGAACUUUCCCUGAAGAUCCCUCUAAGACUAAGAGGUUGAUAGGCUAGAUGUGUAAUCAAUGAAAGUUGUUUAGCUGACUAGUACUAAUAGAUCGUUUGGCUUUUUUUU